CGGAAUAGCUCACUGGUCGAGUCGGCCUGCGCGGAAGAUGUAACGGGGCUAAACCAUGCACCGAAGCUGCGGCAGCGACACUAUGUGUUGUUGGGUAGGGGAGCGUUCUGUAAGCCUGUGAAGGUGUGCUGUGAGGCAUGCUGGAGGUAUCAGAAGUGCGAAUGCUGACAUAAGUAACGAUAAAGCGGGUGAAAAGCCCGCUCGCCGGAAGACCAAGGGUUCCUGUCCAACGUUAAUCGGGGCAGG
Molecule: ribosomal RNA, 246 nt
Filed under: Escherichia coli
Lineage: Bacteria; Pseudomonadati; Pseudomonadota; Gammaproteobacteria; Enterobacterales; Enterobacteriaceae
Description: partial 23S ribosomal RNA
Rfam family: Bacterial large subunit ribosomal RNA
Source: RNAcentral